Molecule: ribosomal RNA, 583 nt
Filed under: Micrococcaceae bacterium HP7
Lineage: Bacteria; Bacillati; Actinomycetota; Actinomycetes; Micrococcales; Micrococcaceae
Description: bacterial SSU rRNA
Rfam family: Bacterial small subunit ribosomal RNA
Source: RNAcentral
GGGGAUUAGUGGCGAACGGGUGAGUAACACGUGAGUAACCUGCCCUUAACUCUGGGAUAAGCCUGGGAAACUGGGUCUAAUACCGGAUAUGACUCCUCAUCGCAUGGUGGGGGGUGGAAAGCUUUUUGUGGUUUUGGAUGGACUCGCGGCCUAUCAGCUUGUUGGUGAGGUAAUGGCUCACCAAGGCGACGACGGGUAGCCGGCCUGAGAGGGUGACCGGCCACACUGGGACUGAGACACGGCCCAGACUCCUACGGGAGGCAGCAGUGGGGAAUAUUGCACAAUGGGCGCAAGCCUGAUGCAGCGACGCCGCGUGAGGGAUGACGGCGUCGGGUUGUAACCUCUUUCAGUAGGGAAGAAGCGAAAGUGACGGUACCUGCAGAAGAAGCGCCGGCUAACUACGUGCCAGCAGCCGCGGUAAUACGUAGGGCGCAAGCGUUAUCCGGAAUUAUUGGGCGUAAAGAGCUCGUAGGCGGUUUGUCGCGUCUGCCGUGAAAGUCCGGGGCUCAACUCCGGAUCUGCGGUGGGUACGGGCAGACUAGAGUGAUGUAGGGGAGACUGGAAUUCCUGGUGUAGCGGUGAA